Non-coding RNA from Delphinapterus leucas (beluga whale), 391 nucleotides. Lineage: Eukaryota; Metazoa; Chordata; Mammalia; Artiodactyla; Monodontidae. The record is from RefSeq and is a predicted model, not a curated record.
AUGAAGAAACAUCUGUUCAAGAACAGUUAACGAAAAUUUGAUAAGAAAGACCCUGACUGCUACCCUCAGCAGAUCCUGCACCGUGUGGACCUUCUUGAAAAAACUACUCAGUAAUGAAAUCUGACCAACCUAUGAGGAAUUGAAAUAAAGAACUCAGAAACAGAAAAGCCAUGAGAAAAGGACUGAAGGAAACGUUUCUACGGAAGUAGCAUAUGCCUACGGGAAAGGGCCCACGUCAGAAACGAGGGGCUCGAGGAGUGUCCACAGAGGCCCGGCUCCCUGCCCGCCUCCUGCUUCUGCCAGCAUGUCCCCGGGGUGACCACCCUCCUCAGUCCUCACAAUGCAGAUUCUGCUUUCCGAAGAGCCUGUACCAGACAAGCAAGCUAUCUUC